This 204-nucleotide long non-coding RNA is filed under the name Elaeis guineensis (African oil palm). Its description in RNAcentral is "long non-coding RNA (EGUI_LNC038770)". Lineage: Eukaryota; Viridiplantae; Streptophyta; Magnoliopsida; Arecales; Arecaceae. The record is from RNAcentral.
GGAAGAGAAAAAAAUAAGAAAAAAUUAUUUUCUUCUCCAUCUUUCUUUCACCUCUUCAUCUCCUCUAGAAGUUCAUCUUCAAUCUCUGAAAAGAUUCUAGAGAUUUGAAGAAAGGAUUUAGAUCAGUCAAAAAGGAGAUCUUCACACGAACUAGCAUUCUCGACAAGACCGAUCAGAUCGGAGCUUCGAGUGGACUUUUCAUAU